UGAGGAAUAUUGGUCAAUGGGUGCAAGCCUGAACCAGCCAUCCCGCGUGAAGGACGACUGCCCUAUGGGUUGUAAACUUCUUUUGUAUAGGGAUAAACCUACCCUCGUGAGGGUAGCUGAAGGUACUAUACGAAUAAGCACCGGCUAACUCCGUGCCAGCAGCCGCGGUAAUACGGAGGGUGCAAGCGUUAUCCGGAUUUAUUGGGUUUAAAGGGUCCGUAGGCGGACUUAUAAGUCAGUGGUGAAAGCCUGUCGCUUAACGAUAGAACUGCCAUUGAUACUGUAAGUCUUGAGUAUAUUUGAGGUAGCUGGAAUAAGUAGUGUAGCGGUGAAAUGCAUAGAUAUUACUUAGAACACCAAUUGCGAAGGCAGGUUACCGAAGAUAUAACUGACGCUGAGGGACGAAAGCGUGGGAGCGAACAGGAUUAGAUACCCUGGUAGUCCACGCCGU
RNAcentral lists this ribosomal RNA (451 nucleotides) under uncultured bacterium. RNAcentral describes it as "partial 16S ribosomal RNA". It matches the Rfam family "Bacterial small subunit ribosomal RNA", at positions 355 to 803 of the family's 1533-position model. The record is from RNAcentral.